RNAcentral lists this ribosomal RNA (492 nucleotides) under uncultured bacterium. RNAcentral's name for it is "partial 16S ribosomal RNA". It matches the Rfam family "Bacterial small subunit ribosomal RNA", at positions 29 to 507 of the family's 1533-position model. The record is from RNAcentral.
AGUGGACGCUGGCGGUAGGCCUAACACAUGCAAGUCGAACGGCAGCACAGUAAGAGCUUGCUCUUACGGGUGGCGAGUGGCGGACGGGUGAGGAAUACAUCGGAAUCUACUUUUUCGUGGGGGAUAACGUAGGGAAACUUACGCUAAUACCGCAUACGACCUACGGGUGAAAGCAGGGGAUCUUCGGACCUUGCGCGAUUGAGUGAGCCGAUGUCGGAUUAGCUAGUUGGCGGGGUAAAGGCCCACCAAGGCGACGAUCCGUAGCUGGUCUGAGAGGAUGAUCAGCCACACUGGAACUGAGACACGGUCCAGACUCCUACGGGAGGCAGCAGUGGGGAAUAUUGGACAAUGGGCGCAAGCCUGAUCCAGCCAUACCGCGUGGGUGAAGAAGGCCUUCGGGUUGUAAAGCCCUUUUGUUGGGAAAGAAAAGCAGCAGGUUAAUACCCCGCUGUUCUGACGGUACCCAAAGAAUAAGCACCGGCUAACUUCGUG